This is a long non-coding RNA of Seriola aureovittata, 778 nucleotides long. RefSeq lists it as uncharacterized. The record is from RefSeq and is a predicted model, not a curated record. The transcript has 3 exons. NCBI's taxonomy places the organism in Eukaryota, Metazoa, Chordata, Actinopteri, Carangiformes, Carangidae.
CUUCCUUUUCACCACAGUGUGUGUGCCGCUCCUAUGUGCUCCCGUUUGUCUGAGGAAAUGCUGAUGUCCGGAUCUGUCCCUCUCAUCUUCCCUCCUGUAUGAGAGUGUGUGCGCGCAUCUACUUCUGCUGAAGUUGUCGGAGGCCAGUGGUGUUGGUGACUGGUGGUGGUGUCCCCUCGUUUGAUGUGCUGUGCUCCCUGGUGUUGGUUACUUCAAAGCGUGUGUGGGUGAUUUAACUCCCCGUUCACUAACACCUGUCCACCUGGUAAACCUCUGCUCCUGACUAGUUUCCCUUCCCCUUGUGUGAGUGAUUUUGACUUAUUUAUUAACUGAUUGUAAUAAAAGAUAUAUUUUUAUACCUUGAACCACAUCUGUUGCCAAGUGAAUAGAACAAACCUGUGUCUAGUAUUUAAAACCAAAAUUCUCUGGGUGAAAUUCCCAGGGUGGCGUUGUCAUGCAACAGUGUAAAUUUCUCUCAAACAAAUUUUGACGUCCGUUAGUGUAAUUAUUCACCCUACCCUCGCCACAAAGGGAAGGUUUGUGGGAGAGUAUGUGUGAGUGCAGAUAAAAAUAUAUACUUAUAUACUAUUUUCUCAGUUUGGUGUAUGUAUAUGGAUACAGGGGCAUGUAGGUGGAUGAGAGAAUACACAAGUAUUUGCUUGUUGUUGUUGUGGUUUUUUUUUUUUUUUUUUUCUCUCCCCGAUUACUCUGUUAGUGGGUAUCAGAGGCUUGUAACAUAAUGAAAAUGUUAAGUGCAUCACGCAUAACCUGUGUUUCA